RNAcentral lists this ribosomal RNA (392 nucleotides) under uncultured bacterium. RNAcentral describes it as "partial 16S ribosomal RNA". It matches the Rfam family "Bacterial small subunit ribosomal RNA", at positions 523 to 918 of the family's 1533-position model. The record is from RNAcentral.
AUACGGAGGAUCCGAGCGUUAUCCGGAUUUAUUGGGUUUAAAGGGUGCGCAGGCUGCCAUUUAAGUCAGCGGUUAAAUCGUGGGGCUCAACCCCAUUCUGCCGUUGAUACUGGGUGGCUUGAUUGCGGUCGAGGUUGGCGGAAUUCGUUGUGUAGCGGUGAAAUGCAUAGAUAUGACGAAGAACACCGAUUGCGUAGGCAGCUGACCAGACCGCAAAUGACGCUCAUGCACGAAAGUGCGGGGAUCGAACAGGAUUAGAUACCCUGGUAGUCCGCACAGUAAACGAUGAAUACUUGUUUUCGGCGAUAUAAUGUCGGAGGCAAAGCGAAAGCGAUAAGUAUUCCACCUGGGGAGUACGCCGGCAACGGUGAAACUCAAAUGAAUUGGCGGGG